Molecule: transfer RNA, 70 nt
Filed under: Laimosemion rectocaudatum
Lineage: Eukaryota; Metazoa; Chordata; Actinopteri; Cyprinodontiformes; Rivulidae
Description: tRNA-Val
Source: RNAcentral
CAGAACAUAGCUAAAUUCAUAGCCCUUCUCUUACACCGAAAAGUUGCCCGCGCAAAUCGGGCUGUUCUGA